RNAcentral lists this ribosomal RNA (494 nucleotides) under uncultured bacterium. Its description in RNAcentral is "partial 16S ribosomal RNA". It matches the Rfam family "Bacterial small subunit ribosomal RNA", at positions 29 to 507 of the family's 1533-position model. The record is from RNAcentral.
ACGAACGCUGGCGGCGUGCCUAAUCCAUGCAAGUAGAACGCUGAAGGAGGAGCUUGCUCUUCUGGAUGAGUUGCGAACGGGUGAGUAACGCGUAGGUAACCUGCCUGGUAGCGGGGGAUAACUAUUGGAAACGAUAGCUAAUACCGCAUAACAGUAGAUGUUGCAUGACAUUUGCUUAAAAGGUGCAAUUGCAUCACUACCAGAUGGACCUGCGUUGUAUUAGCUAGUUGGUGGGGUAACGGCUCACCAAGGCGACGAUACAUAGCCGACCUGAGAGGGUGAUCGGCCACACUGGGACUGAGACACGGCCCAGACUCCUACGGGAGGCAGCAGUAGGGAAUCUUCGGCAAUGGACGGAAGUCUGACCGAGCAACGCCGCGUGAGUGAAGAAGGUUUUCGGAUCGUAAAGCUCUGUUGUAAGAGAAGAACGAGUGUGAGAGUGGAAAGUUCACACUGUGACGGUAUCUUACCAGAAAGGGACGGCUAACUACGUG